AACGAACGCUGGCGGCAUGCCUAACACAUGCAAGUCGAACGAGACCUUCGGGUCUAGUGGCGCACGGGUGCGUAACGCGUGGGAACCUGCCCUUAGGUUCGGAAUAACUCCCCGACAGGGGUGCUAAUACCGGAUAAUGUCUUCGGACCAAAGAUUUAUCGCCUUUGGAUGGGCCCGCGUUGGAUUAGCUAGUUGGUAGGGUAAAAGCCUACCAAGGCGACGAUCCAUAGCUGGUCUGAGAGGAUGAUCAGCCACACUGGGACUGAGACACGGCCCAGACUCCUACGGGAGGCGGCAGUGGGGAAUAUUGGACAAUGGGCGAAAGCCUGAACCAGCAAGGCCGCGUGAGUGAUGAAGGCCUGAGGGUUGUAAAGCUCUUUUACCCGGGAUGAUAAUGACAGUACCGGGAGAAUAAGCUCCGGCUAACUCCGUG
Molecule: ribosomal RNA, 433 nt
Filed under: uncultured bacterium
Lineage: Bacteria
Description: partial 16S ribosomal RNA
Rfam family: Bacterial small subunit ribosomal RNA
Source: RNAcentral